Long non-coding RNA from Haemorhous mexicanus (house finch), 515 nucleotides. RefSeq lists it as uncharacterized. The transcript has 2 exons. The record is from RefSeq and is a predicted model, not a curated record. NCBI's taxonomy places the organism in Eukaryota, Metazoa, Chordata, Aves, Passeriformes, Fringillidae.
UUUCCUGCAGGACAGCUGGGUGGGACAGAGCCUGCCCAGCAAAGCUGGGGGGGCUCUGGAGUGACCUGUGCCAGGAGCAGUGCCAGCCCUGCCCUGCUGAGGCAGCCUGCCCCUGCCCCACGCUGGGGUCCCAGCCAGCCAGGCCAGAUGUUUGAAGGGAAAGGAAUAAAUUCUCUUUUGGGGAUCCUCUUUCUGCUGGACAUGGAAUAUCCAAACAGAACAAACCUGCUGCCCCGAGGGCCAGAGGUUCAGCUGUGUGGAAGUCAACUGACAUGUCAGGAGGGAGAGCAGAGCGCUGGAAAUGGCUGGAGCAAAGCUGGACACAAGGGAGCCGGGAGCUCUCCGGACCCCCAAAGCAGCACUGCUGUGUCCUGAGGGUGGAUCACAACCCUCCCCAUCACCCAGACCUGCCAAAGGCAGCUGGCAAGGCUGGCCCGUGCUAAAUGCUCCAUCCCAUUUCAUUGUUUUGCCUGCUUUGCUUCAAAAGAACCCCCGGAAUAAAACUUCAAAACCAA